AUUCUUACUUGGUAGGGGUGACACUGAUCACCAUGGCAGGUCUCCCACGGCAAGGCUCACCCAUAGCACUCUGGGUGUACUGACCCUUGCGUUUUACUCAACUGCGUAAUUUAUUUUAGUGGGGACUGUGCUUUUUCCUG
RNAcentral lists this small nuclear RNA (140 nucleotides) under Leptobrachium leishanense (Leishan spiny toad). Its description in RNAcentral is "U1 spliceosomal RNA (ENSLLEG00000012830.1)". It matches the Rfam family "U1 spliceosomal RNA". From Rfam's summary of the family: U1 is a small nuclear RNA (snRNA) component of the spliceosome (involved in pre-mRNA splicing). Its 5' end forms complementary base pairs with the 5' splice junction, thus defining the 5' donor site of an intron. Lineage: Eukaryota; Metazoa; Chordata; Amphibia; Anura; Megophryidae. The record is from RNAcentral.